This 497-nucleotide ribosomal RNA is filed under the name uncultured bacterium. RNAcentral's name for it is "partial 16S ribosomal RNA". It matches the Rfam family "Bacterial small subunit ribosomal RNA", at positions 28 to 507 of the family's 1533-position model. The record is from RNAcentral.
GAUGAACGCUGGCGGCGUGCCUAAUACAUGCAAGUCGAGCGAACAGACGAGGAGCUUGCUCCUCUGUCGUUAGCGGCGGACGGGUGAGUAACACGUGGAUAACCUACCUAUAAGACUGGGAUAACUUCGAGAAACCGGCGCUAAUACCGGAUAAUAUAUUGAACCGCAUGGUUCAAUAGUGAAAGACGGUUUUGCUGUCACUUAUCGAUGGAUCCCCGCCGCAUUAGCUAGUUGGUAAGGUAACGGCAUACCAAGGCAACGAUGCGUAGCCGACCUGAGAGGGUGAUCGGCCACACUGGAACUGGGACACGGUCCAGACUCCUACGGGAGGCAGCAGUAGGGAAUCUUCCGCAAUGGGCGAAAGCUUGACGGAGCAACGCCGCGUGAGUGAUGAAGGUCCUCGGAUCGUAAAACUCUGUUAUUAGGGAAGAACAAAUGUGUAAGUAACUAUGCACGUCUUGACGGUACCUAGUCAGAAAGCCACGGCUAACUACGUG